GACGAACGCUGGCGGCGUGCUUAACACAUGCAAGUCGAACGGAAAGGCCCUGCUUUUGUGGGGUGCUCGAGUGGCGAACGGGUGAGUAACACGUGAGUAACCUGCCCUUGACUUUGGGAUAACUUCAGGAAACUGGGGCUAAUACCGGAUAGGAGCUCCUGCUGCAUGGUGGGGGUUGGAAAGUUUCGGCGGUUGGGGAUGGACUCGCGGCUUAUCAGCUUGUUGGUGGGGUAGUGGCUUACCAAGGCUUUGACGGGUAGCCGGCCUGAGAGGGUGACCGGCCACAUUGGGACUGAGAUACGGCCCAGACUCCUACGGGAGGCAGCAGUGGGGAAUAUUGCACAAUGGGCGGAAGCCUGAUGCAGCAACGCCGCGUGCGGGAUGACGGCCUUCGGGUUGUAAACCGCUUUCGCCUGUGACGAAGCGUGAGUGACGGUAAUGGGUAAAGAAGCACCGGCUAACUACGUGCCAGCAGCCGCGGUGAUACGUAGGGUGCGAGCGUUGUCCGGAUUUAUUGGGCGUAAAGGGCUCGUAGGUGGUUGAUCGCGUCGGAAGUGUAAUCUUGGGGCUUAACCCUGAGCGUGCUUUCGAUACGGGUUGACUUGAGGAAGGUAGGGGAGAAUGGAAUUCCUGGUGGAGCGGUGGAAUGCGCAGAUAUCAGGAGGAACACCAGUGGCGAAGGCGGUCUCUGGGGCCUUUCCUGACGCUGAGGAGCGAAAGCGUGGGGAGCGAACAGGCUUAGAUACCCUGGUAGUCCACGCUGUAAACGGUGGGUACUAGGUGUGGGGUCCAUUCCACGGGUUCCGUGCCGUAGCUAACGCUUUAAGUACCCCGCCUGGGGAGUACGGCCGCAAGGCUAAAACUCAAAGGAAUUGACGGGGCCCCGCACAAGCGGCGGAGCAUGCGGAUUAAUUCGAUGCAACGCGUAGAACCUUACCUGGGUUUGACAUGGAUCGGGAGUGCUCAGAGAUGGGUGUGCCUCUUUUGGGGUCGGUUCACAGGUGGUGCAUGGCUGUCGUCAGCUCGUGUCGUGAGAUGUUGGGUUAAGUCCCGCAACGAGCGCAACCCUUGUUCACUGUUGCCAGCACGUUAUGGUGGGGACUCAGUGGAGACCACCGGGGUCAACUCGGAGGAAGGUGGGGAUGACGUCAAGUCAUCAUGCCCCUUAUGUCCAGGGCUUCACGCAUGCUACAAUGGCUGGUACAGAGAGUGGCGAGCCUGUGAGGGUGAGCGAAUCUCGGAAAGCCGGUCUCAGUUCGGAUUGGGGUCUGCAACUCGACCUCAUGAAGUCGGAGUCGCUAGUAAUCGCAGAUCAGCAACGCUGCGGUGAAUACGUUCCCGGGGCU
Molecule: ribosomal RNA, 1346 nt
Filed under: uncultured bacterium
Lineage: Bacteria
Description: partial 16S ribosomal RNA
Rfam family: Bacterial small subunit ribosomal RNA
Source: RNAcentral